This is a long non-coding RNA of Puntigrus tetrazona (Sumatra barb), 599 nucleotides long. RefSeq lists it as uncharacterized. The record is from RefSeq and is a predicted model, not a curated record. NCBI's taxonomy places the organism in Eukaryota, Metazoa, Chordata, Actinopteri, Cypriniformes, Cyprinidae. The transcript is spliced from 4 exons.
CCCUAAACUCACGGACGUUAACGUAAAACCGUGUGCUAACGCAAACCUGCUGAGGAAAACCGAGUUAAGUAACACCACUGUUAAGAACGUCUUUUGUAUUUUAUCUAAGUUUGUGGUCAUGUAGUCUGCAUCGGAGGUGUAUUGGAGUCUCCUCUUGAGACUGCAGUCGAGCGGUGCUAACAACAGGAGAUUUCUCCAAGCAAAAAAAGGAUCCAAGCAAAAGAAUCAUCAUAGAUCCGUUCUACAGAAAGGCAGAAUUAGGUGCCUGGGUGCCCGACCGGGAUCAGAAGAAUCAUGGAAGUUCACCCUUCUGCAUCAGCGACUCUUGACUGAAUGGACUUUAUCGAUUUAAUGAUUUAAGGAUGAGGUCUUCUUGAAUUCCACGAGCAUUCAUCUAGAAAGUGCAAUUACCUGAUUGGACCCAUAAAUCCAAAUUCCACAAAGGAAAAGCUCUUUAAGGAACACCUGGACGUGGCCCAUUGAAUCAGGUGUUAAUUGAUGGACCGGAGCCGUGUGGAUAACUUGUGGAUUAUUAUGAAGUUUUUAUCAGCUGCUUGGACUCUCAUUCUGACGGCACCCAUUCACUGCACAGGAUCCAU